GGCUGGUUCCCAUUUGCUGACAAGCCAGAGGAGCUGCGUUUCCUGGGGCACCGGGAGCAGAUGGCUCUUCCAGGAGAGCCGUUUGUCUGGGAGAGAAGAAGAAAUGCUGAUUAAUGCCAGUGGGAUCCCUAAAUACCCCCCAAAGCCAUAAAAGGUUGAUAGGAGGUUUGCAGUGGCAAAGGAGGAGCCCCCAGAGCAGAACCAAGUGAUUCAAACCCUCCAGAUUCAGCCUUACACUGGGCCCAGGUCGUUUCCUCCGGACACAGCCACACCCUGAUGGGGGAGUCGCCAGGGACCUGCUCUGUUUAAUGAGGAGGGAUUAAUUAACUGCGCGUUAUCCUAUAGAUUUGUUGGGUUUAGCUCUCAGCUCUGCCGCUGCAGGGUGCAAACUGUGUCUGGCUAGGCCCCCUCACACACGGGAGGGGUGCUACAAAACACGCUCGAUUUGAAGAGGAUGCUUCAAGAAGGUCCACGUGCUGGGGAUGGAGAAUCAUCUGGUGAGACUGGGGUCUGUGGAAUCACCAGGGGAAGGAGCCUGGCCACAGCUGUGGAGAGGAGGCUGCUCUCCGAGUCAAUCCAAGCCACAAUCUGUCAUCCCCAACUCUGUGUGUGACACAGAGCGCGGAGGGGGAGGACAGAGCUGGCGCAUGGCACCCCAAGCCCUGCCAUGUGUCACUUGCGCGGGUGUUACUUUCAUUUGAAUGCCUUAUCCUCAAGCAGAUGCAGUGGGUGAUGAUGUGGGGUUUGGAGCAGGAGCACUGUGAAAUGUCAGAACAUUCAACACGUGGCUUUGGGAGCCUGAUCCCACGGGAGGGGAGCUGGAGGCGAGCAGGGAGCGCUGCUGGGCCACUCCAGGAGUGCAGCUCCUGCCAGAAGUGCAGAGCCGAGGGAAAAGCAGAUUCCUCAGCCCUCAACUGCUGCAUGUGGAGCUGCUGCCUCCUGUCACAUUGCAUCUCUUGUGUCGGGCUCUGAUGUGACUGCAGAUGUCACAACGCAGCACAUCUCCCCAGCCUGCCGGGCUCUGUCUGCGGGGAGCAUGGAGCUCCAAGAGGCUGCUGAGGGAAGAGCUUUCAGCUGUGGAGCCACUUCUCAGAGGCUGUGGUAGUGCGGGGGUUCUCCUGUUCUUCCCUGGCUGAGAUGUGUGCGGGGUGUGUCACCUGUCCCAGGUGCUGUGUGGUGCCUCGGAGGCCUGGCUUGUCCCCCCCUCUCAGCCCCUCUCAGGCCCCUGAUCACCUCCCUGUGCCUUCGUGCACGCUCGUUGGUUUGGAAAGGUCUGCAGGUGUGAACCUCGGGUGUUAUUUCUGGAUGAACCCAUCUGCCAGGGUUUAUCCUUUCCAGAGCAAAGCUGCAGCGUGAGGAACCCCGCAGCUUUCCCUGCAGGGAGGCUGCUCCUGCUGCCCGAGGACCUGUCCCAGAUCUGUUGUUGUUCCUGUAAAUAAUGCACUCGGGCAAGUUUAUCCAGGGAAAAUGCUGAUCUGGCAGGAGAAGGGAGCCUCGCUGGCAGAAUGUGUUCAUGCUGCUGUGCACAGCUGCAGGAGACAUUGGCCUUGUCUGCCCACAGAAAUGUCCCCUCCUGAUGCCUGGGGUGGCUCGGGCUUAGCUGGGCUGGGCUUUGCACUGGUGAAAAAGGGAGAAACUGCAGCCCAAAAGGGUUUGGCCAAAGCUCUGCGGCACGGGGGGGUGUUGGGAUGGAUGAUCCUUGGGGGUCCCUUCCAGCUCAGGAGAUUCUGUGAUUCCAUGAUCUCUCACCUUCUGUUGUAUGAGUUUACGAUGUGCAUUCUCACCACGUUAAAUACUAAUUAAAUAGCUUUAAUUGUACUUGAAUGACA
Molecule: long non-coding RNA, 1829 nt
Organism: Corvus hawaiiensis (hawaiian crow)
Lineage: Eukaryota; Metazoa; Chordata; Aves; Passeriformes; Corvidae
Exons: 4
Source: RefSeq, a predicted model, not a curated record